Toxorhynchites rutilus septentrionalis is the source of this 953-nucleotide long non-coding RNA. RefSeq lists it as uncharacterized. The record is from RefSeq and is a predicted model, not a curated record. The transcript is spliced from 3 exons. Lineage: Eukaryota; Metazoa; Arthropoda; Insecta; Diptera; Culicidae.
CAAUUUUCCGCCCCAUGUAUUAAAUGUGUGUGUGCUAUUGACGUUUGUUUGUUGAUUUUGAAAUCAAUCAGAAUUUGCAAGUGAUAUAGAUACCGAAAUUUUUAUUUCGCUUCUUUAUUCAGCUGCUGUGGAACAAGUUCGAUGAUAAAAGUUUCUGCAAAGGCGCACGAGGACAUUAUGAAGCAUAUUGCCGUAGACUGUGUGUGAACGAUAAGUUCCUUUAUUAGAAAUCGCUACUAAAUGAGUUCGAUGAUGACAAACAAAUUUCCAAAUGGUUCACCAAGGGAUAAAUUUUGAGCGACUUUAUUGAGCUGAAUGUGAAGUUCAACCUGACCCGGAACGCGAUCGACGAAGAGGUGUUCGCGACCAAACUGUUCGAUCUGUACUCGGUGGUCAAGAUGUUCCGCUGCCCAACGCCGAAGCUUCGGCACUGUCAGAGCGGAAUCAACCAGCUGUUGGCAUAUCUGAUUCGGUCAUUCUUCACCCAGGAUCAGUGUAUUGACAGAUGUGCCCUAGAGAAGCCGUUUCUGCCCAAGAGGUACGUGCUCGAGGAAUUGCGGCAUAUGCUGAGAGCGUUUCUGGACGAGAAUCUGCGGAAGCAGCAGUGAGAUAGUGUUUGAAAUAAAAUUAUGUUAUUUUGAUUGUGAAGAUUAUUAUUGCAAUGGUGGAAUAAGAAGACUCUAGAAUGGAUAGAUGGGCACACAUUCUCUCGUAGGAAAAUUCUAAGAUAAUCACACACAUAUCACAUAUAAUUAAGUAGUGCACCUAGGUUAUUACGGAAUGUUAUUAUUAUUGGUUCAUCAAAUUCUUUACUUUCAUAUAACCGUGUUAUUGCGACUAUUGAAAAAAUGUGUGGCUACUGAGCAUGUGAAAUGAAUUAAGCUAUUUUUGUAUGUUUGGAAAUAAAACAAUUCAGCGUAUGGAUAAGUACACUGCAACUGGAUUGAAGUUAG